This 406-nucleotide ribosomal RNA is filed under the name uncultured bacterium. RNAcentral describes it as "partial 16S ribosomal RNA". It matches the Rfam family "Bacterial small subunit ribosomal RNA", at positions 29 to 526 of the family's 1533-position model. The record is from RNAcentral.
AUUGAACGCUGGCGGCAGGCCUAACACAUGCAAGUCGAACGAGUGGCGGACGGGUGAGUAAUGUCUGGGAAACUGCCUGAUGGAGGGGGAUAACUACUGGAAACGGUAGCUAAUACCGCAUACCAUCAGAUGUGCCCAGAUGGGAUUAGCUUGUUGGUGGGGUAACGGCUCACCAAGGCGACGAUCCCUAGCUGGUCUGAGAGGAUGACCAGGCCAACUUGGACUGAGACAAGGGCCAGAAUCCCAAGGGAGGCAGCAGGGGGGAAUAUUGCCAAAUGGGGGGAAGCCUGAAGGAGCCAUGCCGCGUGUAUGAAGAAGGCCUUCGGGUUGUAAAGUACUUUCAGCGGGGAGGCGUUACCCGCAGAAGAAGCACCGGCUAACUCCGUGCCAGCAGCCGCGGUAAUAC